RNAcentral lists this ribosomal RNA (491 nucleotides) under uncultured bacterium. RNAcentral's name for it is "partial 16S ribosomal RNA". It matches the Rfam family "Bacterial small subunit ribosomal RNA", at positions 29 to 506 of the family's 1533-position model. The record is from RNAcentral.
AGUGAACGCUGGCGGUAGGCCUAACACAUGCAAGUCGAACGGCAGCACAGUAAGAGCUUGCUCUUACGGGUGGCGAGUGGCGGACGGUUGAGGGAUACAUCGGAAUCUACGUUUUCUUGCGUGAUAACGUAGGGACACUUACGCCAAUACCGCAUACGACCUACGGGUGAAAGCAGGGGAUCUUCGGACCUCGCGCGAUUGAAUGAGCCGAUGUCGGAUUAGCUAGUUGGAGGGGUAAAGGCCCACCAAGGCGACGAUCCUUAGCUGGUCUGAGAGGAUGAUCAGCACAACUGGACCUGGGCACGGGUCCAGCCCCCUACGGGAGGCAGAAGUGGGAAAUAUUGGCCAAUGGGCGAAAGCUUGUCCCAGCCAUACGGGGUGGGUGAAGAAGGCCUUCGGGUUGUAAAGACCUUUUGUUGGGAAAGAAAAGCGGCAGGUUAAUACCCCGUUGUUCGGCGGGUACCAAAAGAAUAAGCCCCGGUUACCUUCGG